Molecule: long non-coding RNA, 3830 nt
Organism: Diceros bicornis minor
Lineage: Eukaryota; Metazoa; Chordata; Mammalia; Perissodactyla; Rhinocerotidae
Exons: 3
Source: RefSeq, a predicted model, not a curated record
ACCUUAUUUCUCUUAUGUAUAGAAUGGUUAUUGGUUAUUUUGCAUCGAUAGCAGUUUUGCAGCUCAGAUCCAGACACCUGGUAAAGUUAUGCUCCUUUCUCCCACAGCAACUGAGAGAUAGGCUGUCUCUCUUGGUGUUUACCUUUCAAAGAGAUGGCUCCUAGGUCCUUGAGAAAGACAUGCCUGGCUCAUAAAGCUAAGAGGCUUAUUUAGGUUCUAAAAACAAUUUAUGUACAUAUAUUUCAAAGAGACAGAGAAAGAACUUACAAGUUUUCUAAAGUAAAUGCUCUAAGAAAAGGGAAGGGAGAAAAGUCUCUUCCCUUAUUUUCAACAUGGAGAAUUUAGCCUCUUGUUUUUAAUUUGUGUUUACCUUUACAGCCCCUAAGCGGGAAACGAACAGCAAGUUCCAAAGUGAGGGUCACCAUCGUCUAGCUAGCUGGUCUUUCCUCUUGCACACCAAGAGGCCCUCGGCAUGUGAUUUAGGCUAGAGUGAGGGUGGACGGCCAGGGUAAGGCAGGGCUGCGCAGGGUGGCGGCAAGGGUGGUUUCAGUCUUUAUGGGGCUCUUUGUGGCUAAUAAAGUGGGGGAGGUUUGGGAGAUGUGGGGCUAAGACUAAACUGGAUAGUCAAAUUGGGUUUCUGAAAAUUCAGUAUUAACAUUUCUAUAGUCAGAGAGCCAACCUAAUGGGACUCAGACAACCCCUUCUUUCCAUUUGAAACCCACAUGUCACAGGUUGAAACCCCUCAGCGAGAGGGAUUUGGACCAAGCUGAUGCUUGACAUAGGUGCUCAGUGGGUAAUAUUCCUAGAUCCAUAUGGGAAGACAGUGCUCACUGCCCAGUUGGAACCAGAGAGCCUGGAUCCCACCAGCCCAGAGUCUUUCACUGAAGGCCACCAGCAUGCACUGUGCCUGGCUCUGUCCUGGGUCAGCAGCCUCAGUCUCUCCUCUCAGGCCAUCUGCUUUCCUCAUGAUUCUGAAUGUCACAGGUGCUGUGGGCCCAGCUGGAAUCUGGGAGUGGCAGGAGGAGGAAAGCCUACUUUUAGGUUCUAAUCCUCUCUUUCUGUGUUCUCUUCCUCUGCUCUCAGGCAACACCUGUGCUUCCUUCUAAAAAAGACACACCUAUCUUUUAAGUCGUUUUUCCCAGCUCCUGCUCCUUUCACAUGGGUUUUUAAAAAUUCUUUCUCCUCAGAGAUGAGAAAGAGAAAGACAGGGACACACACGCACCCACACAGAAUGGGAGAGUGAGAGCGAGAGAGACAGACUCAGUCAAUGGCUUUCGUGGGGAUCCAGGACAAUCUUAUAUUUUUCUCAUAUUUCAUUGAAGAUCUACAUCAGAUGCACCUGGGCAGGUGUAGCGGAGGAAGAAAUUUUCCUCUGCCUUUCUGGGUUCUUCUGGCUGGCCUAAGAACUAAAUUGACAAGUCACAGAUUAACAGGAGAGAAUCCAAUUUAAUUUCAUAUGUAUGGGGGUUCCACAAGAAUAUAGGGGGGCCCCCAAGGACAAAUUAGGCAACUGAGGCUUAUAUGCCAUCUUGAGCUAAAGAGAAGGGGAUAGUGGUUUGGGACGCCAAAAGGAAAGAAGGCAAUUCACACAGAGAUGGAAAUUUUUGGUAAACAAACGUUUGAUGGGCCGAGCAGAGACAACGGGACACAGGGCGUACUGAUUUCUAGGUCCUGCCAAGUUUCCCCCACCACACCCAGCCCAUAUUCUCUGUAAAUAUCUCUGGUGAUAGCUCUAUUCCAGCAACAGGCCCCUUAUCUAAAUUCUUUUAGGCAGUCAAGGGGGAAGUAACAAGGAAAACUUCCUGAGUCUUCUCUUAGGAAUCAGCCUAAAUUAAUCCUCAUGCCAAAGAGACACAUUUUGAGGCGGCAGAUUUUGCUACCCUACAGUCUUCCCUUUGAAACUUCUCCAAGAAGUUGCACAGUUCACAAGCUGAGUUGGUAGAUUGUUCCAUCUCAUUGAACCAGUCUCUUGGUCCUGACAACAGGUCAGUUUAGUUAAACUCAUUUCAGGAGGCAGUGAAUCAGAUUAGCUCUCAAAGUUAGGCCUAGAAGGUGCAAGCAAUUAAAUAAUUAAUAAGAGCCAUUUCUAUGGAAACAAGAAAAAAAGUUUUAAUGGUUGGAGCAAAUUAUAAACCAGUUUCUGAUCUUAGGGGCAGCCAGUCAUGAAGAUUUCUAGAUGUCAGGGUCGAAACAUCUUUUGCAGUUUGAAAUGUCUCUGAUGAUGUCACUGGGUAUUCAGGUAAACUUUCUGAGUGGCUUACACAGCAUCAGGCAUGAAGAUUGUCUAAGCACGGGCUAUGGUGGUGCUCCCUCUUAAGUUUCUGUCAAGUUGUCUAGCUUUAGUUUGCAGGGCCUCAGGAAAAGGGCAGCUUUAGUUCUCAAUGAUUCCAAGUCAAACGUGGGAGAAAAAUUAGAAAUGUUAGUUUGGAGAGUUGUAGCCAAAUAUUUGAGGAAACUGGAAGAAUUUAGGAUUCAGUUCAGUUUACAGGUGAAAAACAAAACCUUAAAGACGAUGAACAGAAUUAGACUCUACUAUCCACAAGUGUAUAUUAUAGUUUCUACUGAAAUAAUUUUUUGUCUCUAAAACACUCUCAUUUUUAUCAAAGAUAGCCAAAUUAAGACUAAUUUAUUUGCAAAGUAAGUCUAGUUUUAAUAAGCUUGGCCUGAUGAUUUACAUAAAUGCAUCAAGAAUAGCAAUUGAUCACAUGGGCUCUUUUAAAUCUGCUUUGCUGGAACUUUUCAUAAGGAAUCUCCAGAUUGAGCUUUUAACAGCCUCUUGAGGCUAAGAAGCCAAGACAAUAUUUACCGUCAAACUUUGCUGUAAUACCUUUAGAUUUGGAUUAAUUCCUCUCUUCUUCAGGUCCCCCAAUAUCCUGAGGUUUCUGUGCCUGCCAGGAAGUGACCUUCCUUACUCACCUGGUCUUCCUUUUAAAGAUGUUCAGAGGAGACUCCAAAGGGAAUUCCAGGACCAAUCCGCUCUGCCUGGGGAAGUGCAUGAGGCUUCCCCCGAGUCUGCGCAUGCUUGGACCCCUGUGCUACCCAGUGAUGUCAUCUACACCUUGUCCAGGAGCCAAAGACACAGCCCUGACAACGUGAGUGGUACGACUCCUCAGGCAGUGGCUCUCAACCUGGCAGGCAACACAUUAGAACCACCAGGGAGCUUAAAAAGUAUGGACUGGCCGCACGCCACCAUCUCAAGAUCUAACUGGUGAAGAGUGGGCCCGGCAUCAGUAUUUGUUAAAAGCGUCUCAUGUGUGGCCAGAGUUGAGAACCACUGGAAUAGCUCUUCUCCAAUAUCGUCAACAUCAGAAUCAUCUGGGGGGCUGGCUAAACACCAGCUGUUCGGCCCUCCCCUAGUUUCUGAGUCAGUGGUCUGAGGUGGGGGCUCAGAAUCUGCAUUUCUAACGUGCUCCCAAGACCUGCUGCUGCUGUUGGUCUGGGCAAGGCUUUGAGAACUGCUGCCCUAGGGGCUCGCUCACUACCGCCCUGAUUCUCCCCGAACCAGAGGGUUUUCUGCUUCCUGCCCCCACGGUCCUGGCUCUUCCCUCUACACUGGUGUGCUCUUCGCUGAGCUCUGGGCUAUCCCUAACAGGGUGUAGAAAAAAAUUGUUUUUAUCUACUUUUUUAAGCCCAAAAGAGAUUGGAACACUUCAAAAGGCAUUCUAUCUGAGGGGGAAAUGGAUCCUCCAAAUGGGGAACUGAACACAUUGAAGUGGACACAUUUGGAGGCAGCUGCGGUUGGGCUCUGGAUUGGUUGGUUUUAUUUGAGAGGCAUGCUUGUGGGUGAGUCGUUUGCUGUCUCUGGGAAUUGUCUAGCCCUGGCUGGGGGG